Molecule: long non-coding RNA, 375 nt
Organism: Manduca sexta (tobacco hornworm)
Lineage: Eukaryota; Metazoa; Arthropoda; Insecta; Lepidoptera; Sphingidae
Exons: 3
Source: RefSeq, a predicted model, not a curated record
UAAAUGUUGACGUCAUUUGAUCGUGUUGACUUACAAGUUGGAUAUUUUUACAGCUGAAAGAGACAACAGUUCCAAUCACGUCGGCUAAGUUCAGCUGCUAUUAUGACGACUCCAAAUACAUGAGAAAAAGGAUUACUUGAUACAACUAAAGGUUACUGAUAUAACUACAGACAUUUCGUAUUGGAAGUAAAGUUAAAAUACGAAAGCACAAUAUAACCAAAGAAGCACACUGGGGUUGGCAGGAGUAGGCAGAGGUGUAACCCACUCACAUCUUAUUUCGCCAGAUAUAUUAAAUCUCAUGUAAGAGGUGGCGAGACCAUCACCACAGUAAAUACCUACGCAGUGAUCGGAUUUCGUAGGUUCAACCUCGUUACC